This 536-nucleotide ribosomal RNA is filed under the name uncultured bacterium. Its description in RNAcentral is "bacterial SSU rRNA". It matches the Rfam family "Bacterial small subunit ribosomal RNA", at positions 355 to 906 of the family's 1533-position model. The record is from RNAcentral.
UGGGGAAUCUUGGACAAUGGGGCAACCCUGAUCCAGCCAUGCCGCGUGAGUGAAGACGGCCUUAGGGUUGUAAACCGCUUUCAGCAGGGAAGAAACUGACGGUACCUGCAGAAGAAGAUGCGGCCAACUACGUGCCAGCAGCCGCGGUGACACGUAGGCAUCAAGCGUUAUCCGGAUUUAUUGGGCGUAAAGAGCUCGUAGGCGGUUCGGUAAGUCGGGUGUGAAAACUCUGGGCUCAACCCAGAGAGGCCACUCGAUACUGCUGUGACUAGAGUGCGGUAGGGGAGCGGGGAAUUCCUGGUGUAGCGGUGAAAUGCGCAGAUAUCAGGAGGAACACCAGUGGCGAAGGCGCCGCUCUGGGCCGUAACUGACGCUGAGGAGCGAAAAGCAUGGGUAGCAAACAGGAUUAGAUACCCUGGUAGUCCACGCCGUAAAACGAUGAGCACUCGGUGCCGCGGGUAUCGACCCCUGCGGUGCCUGAGCUAACGCAUUAAGUGCUCCGCCUGGGAGUACGGUCGCAAGGCUGAAACUCAAAU